RNAcentral lists this ribosomal RNA (405 nucleotides) under uncultured bacterium. RNAcentral's name for it is "partial 16S ribosomal RNA". It matches the Rfam family "Bacterial small subunit ribosomal RNA", at positions 28 to 526 of the family's 1533-position model. The record is from RNAcentral.
GAUGAACGCUGGCGGCGUGCCUAAUACAUGCAAGUCGAGCGACGCGGGGACGGGCUAGUAACACGUGGAUCACUUCCUAUAUGACUGGGAUAACUUCGGGCAACCGAAGCUAAACCUGAACCUUAUAGAUGGAUCCGCGCUGCAUUAGCUAGUUGGUAAGCUACCGGCUUACCAAGGCAACGAUGCAUAGCCGACCUGCGAGGGUGAUCGGCCACACGGGAAAUGAGACACGGGCCAGACUCCUACGGGAGGCAGCAGUAGGGAAUCUGCCGCAAUGGGCGAAAGCCUGACAGAGCAACGCCGCGUGAGUGAUGAAGGUCUUCGGAUCGUAAAACUCUGUUAGUAGGGAAGCGGUACCUAAUCAGAAAGCCACGGCUAACUACGUGCCAGCAGCCGCGAUAAUAC